ACAGGGAUUGCCCUAGUAACGGCGAGUGAAGCGGCAACAGCUCAAAUUUGAAAUCUGGCGUCUUUGGCGUCCGAGUUGUAAUUUGCAGAGGGCGCUUUGGCAUUGGCAGCGGUCCAAGUUCCUUGGAACAGGACGUCACAGAGGGUGAGAAUCCCGUACGUGGUCGCUAGCCUUUACCGUGUAAAGCCCCUUCGACGAGUCGAGUUGUUUGGGAAUGCAGCUCUAAAUGGGAGGUAAAUUUCUUCUAAAGCUAAAUACUGGCCAGAGACCGAUAGCGCACAAGUAGAGUGAUCGAAAGAUGAAAAGCACUUUGGAAAGAGAGUUAAAAAGCACGUGAAAUUGUUGAAAGGGAAGCGCUUGCAGCCAGACUUGCCUGUAGUUGCUCAUCCGGGUUUUUACCCGGUGCACUCUUCUGCGGGCAGGCCAGCAUCAGUUUGGGCGGUUGGAUAAAGGUCUCUGUCAUGUACCUCUCUUCGGGGAGAACUUAUAGGGGAGACGACAUGCAACCAGCCUGGACUGAGGUCCGCGCAUCUGCUAGGAUGCUGGCGUAAUGGCUGUAAGCGGCCCGUCUUGAAACACGGACCAAGGAGUCUAACAUCUAUGCGAGUGUUUGGGUGUCAAGCCCGAGCGCGUAAUGAAAGUGAACGGAGGUGGGAACCUUUCGGGGUGCACCAUCGACCGAUCCUGAUGUCUUCGGAUGGAUUUGAGUAAGAGCAUAGCUGUUGGGACCCGAAAGAUGGUGAACUAUGCUUGAAUAGGGUGAAGCCAGAGGAAACUCUGGUGGAGGCUCGCAGCGGUUCUGACGUGCAAAUCGAUCGUCAAAUUUGGGCAUAGGGGCGAAAGACUAAUCGAACUAUCUAGUAGCUGGUUCCUGCCGAAGUUUCCCUCAGGAUAGCAGUAACGUUUUCAGUUUUAUGAGGUAAAGCGAAUGAUUAGAGGCCUGGGGGUUGAAACAACCUU
This 960-nucleotide ribosomal RNA is filed under the name Xenodidymella sp. RNAcentral describes it as "partial large subunit ribosomal RNA". It matches the Rfam family "Eukaryotic large subunit ribosomal RNA", at positions 68 to 1048 of the family's 3401-position model. Lineage: Eukaryota; Fungi; Ascomycota; Dothideomycetes; Pleosporales; Didymellaceae. The record is from RNAcentral.